This 356-nucleotide long non-coding RNA is filed under the name Elaeis guineensis (African oil palm). Its description in RNAcentral is "long non-coding RNA (EGUI_LNC041104)". Lineage: Eukaryota; Viridiplantae; Streptophyta; Magnoliopsida; Arecales; Arecaceae. The record is from RNAcentral.
GUGGGCGGCAUCUCUUGAUGAGUCAUCAUCCUUAUCCCAUAUCUAAUUUGAAUUUGAUUCAAAUCAAGAUGAGGAUAAGAAGAAAAGAAAUCAUGGGAUUAUGGAAAGUAAGGUGGCGCCAAUAUUUUUCUUGCAUGCAUUGAGAAUGAAGAGGGCUUGAGAAAAAAUCAGAUCUAAUUUUUUGUUCAUGCGACACCUCUUUUGGUGUUAAAAAUUUUGGAUGCCCCAUAUUUUGUGGCGUGCAAAAUAAAGAGAAAAAAUCUGAUUCAGAUCGGAAAGUCAGGGUAAAUCUGAAUAGAUUUCUAUUUUCAAAUUUUCAUAACAAUUAUGUUUACCUUUGAUAUGCAGCGGAAUUG